AGAAUCAACGCUGGCGGCGUGCCUCAGACAUGCAAGUCGAACGCGAAAGUUUCCUUCGGGAAACAAGUAGAGUGGCGGACGGGUGAGUAACACGUGGGAACGUGCCUUUUGGUUCGGAAUAGCUCCUGGAAACGGGUGGUAAUGCCGAAUGUGCCCUUCGGGGGAAAGAUUUAUCGCCAUUAGAGCGGCCCGCGUCUGAUUAGCUAGUUGGUGAGGUAAAGGCUCACCAAGGCUACGAUCAGUAGCUGGUCUGAGAGGAUGACCAGCCACAUUGGGACUGAGACACGGCCCAAACUCCUACGGGAGGCAGCAGUGGGAAUCUUGCGCAAUGGGCGAAAGCCUGACGCAGCCAUGCCGCGUGAAUGAUGAAGGUCUUAGGAUUGUAAAAUUCUUUCACCGGGACGAUAAUGACGGUACCGAGAAGACGCCCGGCUAACUCGUGCCAGCAGCCGC
Molecule: ribosomal RNA, 453 nt
Filed under: uncultured bacterium
Lineage: Bacteria
Description: SSU rRNA
Rfam family: Bacterial small subunit ribosomal RNA
Source: RNAcentral